This 273-nucleotide long non-coding RNA is filed under the name Struthio camelus australis. Its description in RNAcentral is "lncRNA (ENSSCUG00000006131.1)". The record is from RNAcentral. Lineage: Eukaryota; Metazoa; Chordata; Aves; Struthioniformes; Struthionidae.
AUGAUUUACAGGCAGAUGUUACCAGCUUCAAAAGUUAUUGGAGAACAGAAACAGAAGAUUUGAUUCAAACUUUAAUAACUGUCAUACACAAAGCUGGAAUCCACCACUGAACUUUUCAGAGAGAAUCCAUACUUGGACACUUAGCCACAUCAACAUCAGGAAAAGAAAAAGAGCCAAGGUCCACGUAGCAGAAGAUGCUUUUUCUGACUGAUGGAGAGGCUUGGAACUGAAUGAGUGUAAGUACCAUUUUUUCCUCAGGAAAGAUAGCCUAGA